This 519-nucleotide small RNA is filed under the name Pan troglodytes (chimpanzee). RNAcentral describes it as "retained intron". The record is from RNAcentral. Lineage: Eukaryota; Metazoa; Chordata; Mammalia; Primates; Hominidae.
AUGCUCCACCUGUAUGGCUGGCAAACCACGCAGCGUAGAAAGAUGGGGCACCCACCAGACUCUCCCAGUGCCCCGGCCCCAGCUGGCACCACAGCUAUACCUGGGCUUAUUCCAGACCUUGUCGCCGGGACCCCCUGGCCCCGCUGGGCUCUCAUUGCCGGCGCCCUUGCCGCGGGCAUCCUCCUCGUCUCCUGCCUCCUCUGUGCUGCCUGCUGCUGCUGCCGCCACCACAGGAAGAAGCCCAGGGACAAGGAGGCCGUGGGUCUGGGCAGUGCCCGUGGCACCACCACCACCCACCUGGUGCAACCUGAUGUGGAUGGCCUGGAGUCCAGCCCGGGGGGUGCUCAGCAAUGGGGGCGCCUGCAGCUCUCCCUGGAGUACGACUUUGGAAGCCAGGAGGUGAAGAGCCCUGCUGUGCAGGACCAGCGGUUCUGCGAGUUUCCGGAAAGGGUGACGGGGGAAGGGCAGACCCCGUGCCCUGGGUGGUGGGGAGCUGACAGGGCAGGGGCCCUUGGCUGA